UCGAGAAUAUUCCACAAUGGGCGAAAGCCUGAUGGAGCGACGCCGCGUGCAGGAAGAAGGCCUUCGGGUUGUAAACUGCGGUAGUCAGGGAAAAUUUUUGGAUGGUACCUGACGGAAAGAGGCGGGUAACUACGUGCCAGCACCAGCGGUAAUACGUAGGCCUCAAGCGUUAUCCGGAUUUAUUGGGCGUAAAGCGAGUGUAGGAGGUUUCGUGCGUUUUUGGUUAAAGCCCACCGCCUAACGGUGGAAGUGCCGGAAAUACGACGAGACUAGAGGGGGUUAGAGGUGCAUGGAACACACGGUGUAGGGGUGAAAUCCGUUGAUAUCGUGUGGAACACCAAAGGCGAAGGCAGUGCACUAGGACCUUCCUGACUCUGAGACUCGAAAGCGUGGGGAGCAA
RNAcentral lists this ribosomal RNA (400 nucleotides) under uncultured bacterium. RNAcentral describes it as "bacterial SSU rRNA". It matches the Rfam family "Bacterial small subunit ribosomal RNA", at positions 355 to 771 of the family's 1533-position model. The record is from RNAcentral.